This 237-nucleotide unclassified non-coding RNA is filed under the name Hevea brasiliensis (rubber tree). The record is from RNAcentral. Lineage: Eukaryota; Viridiplantae; Streptophyta; Magnoliopsida; Malpighiales; Euphorbiaceae.
UAAACAGAGACUUUGGAAUAAAGCUGAUUCUCUUGCAUGCUCUCGUUGAAUUCUGGAACCUUGAAGAAUUGAUACACAUGAAAACAAUCUUGGAUUGAUCUCCACCAUUUCUUGGUCAUAUAAAUUAAUCCAGUCCUGAUUAAAAGAAACCGAAGCAGAAACAAUAAACCAACAAUUACAAACAAGAGAAAGAAUGGGUUAAAAAGAAUUUUCAUGAUUGUAGACACAGAAAAAAUC